This 581-nucleotide ribosomal RNA is filed under the name uncultured Bacilli bacterium. RNAcentral describes it as "bacterial SSU rRNA". It matches the Rfam family "Bacterial small subunit ribosomal RNA", at positions 74 to 645 of the family's 1533-position model. Lineage: Bacteria; Bacillati; Bacillota; Bacilli. The record is from RNAcentral.
GCUUGCACCGAGCGGAAGAGUUGCGAACGGGUGAGUAACGCGUAGGUAACCUGCCUGGUAGCGGGGGAUAACUAUUGGAAACGAUAGCUAAUACCGCAUGAUAUUGAUUAUUGCAUGAUAGUCAAUUAAAAGGUGCAAUUGCAUCACUACCAGAUGGACCUGCGUUGUAUUAGCUAGUUGGUGGGGUAACGGCUCACCAAGGCGACGAUACAUAGCCGACCUGAGAGGGUGAUCGGCCACACUGGGACUGAGACACGGCCCAGACUCCUACGGGAGGCAGCAGUAGGGAAUCUUCGGCAAUGGACGGAAGUCUGACCGAGCAACGCCGCGUGAGUGAAGAAGGUUUUCGGAUCGUAAAGCUCUGUUGUAAGAGAAGAACGAGUGUGAGAGUGGAAAGUUCACACUGUGACGGUAUCUUACCAGAAAGGGACGGCUAACUACGUGCCAGCAGCCGCGGUAAUACGUAGGUCCCGAGCGUUGUCCGGAUUUAUUGGGCGUAAAGCGAGCGCAGGCGGUUAGAUAAGUCUGAAGUUAAAGGCUGUGGCUUAACCAUAGUACGCUUUGGAAACUGUUUAACUUGA